GGAUGAACGCUGGCGGCGUGCCUACUCCAUGCAAGUCGAGCGAACAGAUAAGGAGCUUGCUCCUUUGACGUUAGCGGCGGACGGGUGAGUAACACGUGGGUAACCUACCUAUAAGACUGGAAUAACUCCGGGAAACCGGGGCUAAUGCCGGAUAACAUUUAGAACCGCAUGGUUCUAAAGUGAAAGAUGGUUUUGCUAUCACUUAUAGAUGGACCCGCGCCGUAUUAGCUAGUUGGUAAGGUAACGGCUUACCAAGGCAACGAUACGUAGCCGACCUGAGAGGGUGAUCGGCCACACUGGAACUGAGACACGGUCCAGACUCCUACGGGAGGCAGCAGUAGGGAAUCUUCCGCAAUGGGCGAAAGCCUGACGGAGCAACGCCGCGUGAGUGAUGAAGGUCUUCGGAUCGUAAAACUCUGUUAUUAGGGAAGAACAAAUGUGUAAGUAACUGUGCACGUCUUGACGGUACCUAAUCAGAAAGCCACGGCUAACUACGUG
RNAcentral lists this ribosomal RNA (498 nucleotides) under uncultured bacterium. RNAcentral describes it as "partial 16S ribosomal RNA". It matches the Rfam family "Bacterial small subunit ribosomal RNA", at positions 27 to 507 of the family's 1533-position model. The record is from RNAcentral.